RNAcentral lists this unclassified non-coding RNA (205 nucleotides) under plant metagenome. RNAcentral's name for it is "partial contains small subunit ribosomal RNA, internal transcribed spacer 1, and 5.8S ribosomal RNA". The record is from RNAcentral.
GUAGCUCAAGUACGGGAUAGCUUGACCGCAAGGUCAAGUUGAUCCUUCCGCAUAACACUUGCCGAAGCCUUAGCAGCCUGAAAAGGUGCAAUCCCAACGACUAUAAUUCACGAGGAUUGCUUAAAUGCUAGUCUGCGUAUAGCAGGCGACACUAUCAAAUUGCGGGAACACCCUAAAGACCUCAACACCAAGCGCCGUGGGAAAC